RNAcentral lists this microRNA precursor (52 nucleotides) under Canis lupus familiaris (dog). RNAcentral's name for it is "mir-1302 microRNA precursor family". It matches the Rfam family "mir-1302 microRNA precursor family". Lineage: Eukaryota; Metazoa; Chordata; Mammalia; Carnivora; Canidae. The record is from Rfam by way of RNAcentral. RNAcentral also lists the same sequence under 3 other names.
UUUUCAUUAUAAAUAUGUCUGAUGCAAUAUUUCAGACAUACUUAUGUUAAGA